RNAcentral lists this long non-coding RNA (2042 nucleotides) under Rattus norvegicus (Norway rat). Its description in RNAcentral is "long non-coding RNA NONRATT016066". The record is from RNAcentral. Lineage: Eukaryota; Metazoa; Chordata; Mammalia; Rodentia; Muridae.
AGGUUGGAAUGAAAUACAGAAACUUAAUCCUGAAGCCUGGGGGGUCCCUGGACGGCAUGGACAUGCUCCAGAAUUUCUUGCAACGUGAGCCAAACCAAAAAGCAUUCCUAAUGAGUCGAGGCCUGAAUGGUUCGUAAGCCAGGGAUCCUGGGAGUUGUCCAUGUCUGGAGGACAAGUCAACACUGUCAUGUGGUGCCGGCCUGGAGACUGAAGAGAGUUUUACAAAAGAAAACUUAGAUUUCUAUUGAUUUGCUUUUGUUUUUUAAUUUUAAAAAUUAUACAGAUGUAAAUGGAAUUAUAAAUACUGUGACCUAAGGAAAGACCAACUAAAAAUAAUUGUACUAUAAAGUUUCAUAAAAAUGGAUUUGAUUUCUUUUGAUAAAAGUUUCAUAUGAAUGUAAUUUGAUUUUUUUUACAGUUAUAAUCCAGAUAAUAUAAUGUAAGAGGGCUAAGACAUUUUAAAUUGAAUCACAUACAUGAUAUAAUUUGAUCCUUCUUAUAUCUUGAAGUUUUAUACUUGCGAUCUCUGGACUGAUAAAUGAAUCACCACAUUCUCUCUGGUAAAUAUUUCCUCCGAGCCCUGUGUCAACCUUGACCCUCUGCCUCAGAGCUAGGCGACAGUCUGCCUGCGUGUGUCAAGGCCAGCACAACAUGUUUCAGUAGUGUUUGUCUUUUGUAGUGAGCUUCAUGAUUCUUAGUUUCCUAUCACAAUUAUAUUCCUCCUCUUGGAUAAUUUUUUUAAAUUUUAUUUUAACUAGUUAUAUGUGUGUGUGUGUGUGUGUGUGUGUUUUGUGUCUUACACUAGAAGCUCAAAUGUCAACUCUUCUGUUGCAGUCACAGUGAGAAAAGCAGGUAAAGUGAGAGGAAUUCAGGUAUCCUUUGGGUUCCCAUUCCUUUUAGUACUCGCUGUGUAUUUUGCUUAUAUUUUUUAUUUUGUUUGUUUGAGGUACCAUCUCACCAUGGAGCCAGAUUGGCCCAGAACUCGAGGUAAUUCCCCUGCUUCAGCUUCCCAAGCCUUAAGACCCAGGCGUGAGCCACUACACUCAGCUCAGUUCUCUUGUUUCUAAUCGGGAUUCUGACCUUGCCUCCCAGAAAGUGACAGUGGACCCUGUAGUCACAGUGUGUUGAAGUGCCAGGGGCAGAACUAAGUUUUUUUUUUUUUUGGUUCUUUUUAUCAGAGCUGGGGACUGAACCCAGGGCCUUGCGCUUCGUAGGCAAGCGCUCUACCACUGAGCUAAAUCCCCAACCCCCAGAACUAAGCUUUUAACACUCCAGAAGAGAGUGGGUUGGAGUGGAGCGUUGGAGAGCGGCUGCUCCCAGUGUUCUGUGGGCAGCUGAGCUGUGGGGAAGGCUCCUCAGCAGCCUGCUUCGUAUGGAGACUGUUAAGUGAGCCUCCAGAUCUCUAACUCCUUUUAUUAGGUCUAAGUUUCCAGAGCAGCAACAGGGCAGUGAGCUCACAGCACUAGUGUAGCUCUGGGAGUCUACUCACAAAGGAAACCGGGUGGGAUUCUGGAGAAAAUGUCGGUGAACUGUGACCGCACUUUCCACUGACCUUUGAGCUGUUUCACAUACCUGAAGAAUGACUUUGCUGGCAGGCAGCGAAAUUAGAGCCUGUCUGUUUGUUAGACCAAGUGGACUUUGUGUUAAAUAAAAUAUUAUGUCAUGUAAUAAAGUUAUACAGAGUACCAAGAGCUGUGCACAGCAGGGAAGCCCUUUGUUCGUGUAGUUUGAUUUGAUUUUUGCAGUGCUGGGCAUUCAAACCUCCAGCUUCUUCACCCAUGCCGGCAAGUGCUGUGCUCGCCCCAGCUGUUUUUAUGGUGGUGGUAGAAACCUCUGGAAGAUUCUAGAUUCUCACAUCUGUCCCCACCCCCAUUUUUUCUACUUUCAGACAAAAAAAAACAACUCUCUUCAGCUUUCUCUAGUAUUGCCCAGAAUGUCUCUUUCAAAAUGACUUCUGUCAUAAAUCUGACUUUCCUUGGGAAAGCUAAUAGCCAGUGUGUGAAAGACUGCACACAAUAAAGUUGCAUCAUUGUCCACGAGAA